Molecule: ribosomal RNA, 497 nt
Filed under: uncultured bacterium
Lineage: Bacteria
Description: partial 16S ribosomal RNA
Rfam family: Bacterial small subunit ribosomal RNA
Source: RNAcentral
GAUGAACGCUGGCGGCGUGCUUAACACAUGCAAGUCGAGCGAAGCACUUUACUUGGAUUUCUUCGGAAUGACGAGUAUUGUGACUGAGCGGCGGACGGGUGAGUAACGCGUGGGUAACCUGCCUCAUACAGGGGGAUAACAGUUAGAAAUGACUGCUAAUACCGCAUAAGACCACAGCACCGCAUGGUGCAGGGGUAAAAACUCCGGUGGUAUGAGAUGGACCCGCGUCUGAUUAGCUGGUUGGUGGGGUAACGGCCUACCAAGGCAACGAUCAGUAGCCGGCCUGAGAGGGCGACCGGCCACAUUGGGACUGAGACACGGCCCAAACUCCUACGGGAGGCAGCAGUGGGGAAUAUUGCACAAUGGGGGAAACCCUGAUGCAGCGACGCCGCGUGAAGGAAGAAGUAUUUCGGUAUGUAAACUUCUAUCAGCAGGGAAGAAAAUGACGGUACCUGACUAAGAAGCCCCGGCUAACUACGUGCCAGCCGCCGCCGUAA